This 384-nucleotide long non-coding RNA is filed under the name Nicotiana tabacum (common tobacco). RNAcentral's name for it is "long non-coding RNA (NTAB_LNC002582)". The record is from RNAcentral. Lineage: Eukaryota; Viridiplantae; Streptophyta; Magnoliopsida; Solanales; Solanaceae.
CCUUUCCAACAUAGGGUGUCCACUCCCUAGUUGAUUUUUAUUUUUUAGACAUAGGGUCUCCACUCCCUAGUCGCAUUUUCCAACAUAGGGUCUCCACUCCCUAGUUGAUGUUAUUUUAGACAUAGGGUCUCCACUCUCUAGUCUCUUUUCCAACAUUGGGUAUCCACUCCCUAGUUGAUAUUAUUUUAGACAUAGGGUCUCCACUACCUAGUCGCCUUUUCCAACAUAUGGUCUCCACUCCCUAGUUGACUUUUAUUCUUUAGACAUAGGGUCUCCACUCCCUAGUUGACUUUUAUUCUUUAGACAUAGGGUCUCCACUCCCUAGUUCUUUUUCCAACAUAGGAUCUCCACUCCCUAGUUGAUGUUAUUUUGAACAUAGGGUCU